CCAUAGCCCCGAUGGGAGGGAAAAUCCUUUUGUGGUGGGGUUCACCACAAAAGAUUGGAAGGGACAGCGGGAAUAAGC
Flavobacterium sp. CF136 is the source of this 78-nucleotide non-coding RNA. Lineage: Bacteria; Pseudomonadati; Bacteroidota; Flavobacteriia; Flavobacteriales; Flavobacteriaceae. The record is from Rfam.